ACUCCUACGGGAGGCAGCAGUGGGAAUAUUGCACAAUGGGGAACCGUACUGCAGCCAUGCCGCGUGUGUGAAGAAGGCCUUCGGGUUGUAAAGCACUUUCAGUAGGGAGGAAGGUAGUGUAGUUAAUAGCUGCAUUAUUUGACGUUAGCGACAGAAGAAGCACCGGCUAACUCCGUGCCAGCAGCCGCGGUAAUACGGAGGGUGCGAGCGUUAAUCGGAAUUACUGGGCGUAAAGCGCAUGCAGGUGGUUUGUUAAGUCAGAUGUGAAAG
This 270-nucleotide ribosomal RNA is filed under the name uncultured bacterium. Its description in RNAcentral is "partial 16S ribosomal RNA". It matches the Rfam family "Bacterial small subunit ribosomal RNA", at positions 335 to 600 of the family's 1533-position model. The record is from RNAcentral.